RNAcentral lists this unclassified non-coding RNA (385 nucleotides) under fungal sp. Its description in RNAcentral is "partial internal transcribed spacer region". The stretch from base 1 to 46 matches the Rfam family "Eukaryotic small subunit ribosomal RNA", at positions 1786 to 1831 of the family's 1831-position model. Lineage: Eukaryota; Fungi. The record is from RNAcentral.
AAGUCGUAACAAGGUCUCCGUAGGUGAACCUGCGGAGGGAUCAUCUACAAAAAAAAUAUGAUGAUGAUGAUGAUGAUGAUGUUUAUUCAUCAUCAUCAUCAUUAUUCAUAUAUUAUCCAUUAUAGGAUGUUUUGGUGUUGUUAUUAUAUAAUAUUCUUAUAAUGUUGCAGGAUGGAAUUGUGUGUAUGUGUAUGUGUGUGUGUGUCGGUGUUUGUGUGUGUGUUGUAUGUGUGUUUGUGUUUUAAGGAGUAUUGUUACUCUUUUUAACCUUCCCCACAUACACUCUACUCUUAUUACUACCCAUCACUACACCAAUAAAAAACCAACCAGGAUCAUAAAUUCCAAACAAAGUUUAUAACUUUUGGCAACGGAUCUCUUGGUUCUG